RNAcentral lists this ribosomal RNA (808 nucleotides) under Pseudomonas sp. RNAcentral's name for it is "bacterial SSU rRNA". It matches the Rfam family "Bacterial small subunit ribosomal RNA", at positions 57 to 861 of the family's 1533-position model. The record is from RNAcentral. Lineage: Bacteria; Pseudomonadati; Pseudomonadota; Gammaproteobacteria; Pseudomonadales; Pseudomonadaceae.
GCAGUCGAGCGGUAGAGAGAAGCUUGCUUCUCUUGAGAGCGGCGGACGGGUGAGUAAUGCCUAGGAAUCUGCCUGGUAGUGGGGGAUAACGUUCGGAAACGGACGCUAAUACCGCAUACGUCCUACGGGAGAAAGCAGGGGACCUUCGGGCCUUGCGCUAUCAGAUGAGCCUAGGUCGGAUUAGCUAGUUGGUGAGGUAAUGGCUCACCAAGGCGACGAUCCGUAACUGGUCUGAGAGGAUGAUCAGUCACACUGGAACUGAGACACGGUCCAGACUCCUACGGGAGGCAGCAGUGGGGAAUAUUGGACAAUGGGCGAAAGCCUGAUCCAGCCAUGCCGCGUGUGUGAAGAAGGUCUUCGGAUUGUAAAGCACUUUAAGUUGGGAGGAAGGGUUGUAGAUUAAUACUCUGCAAUUUUGACGUUACCGACAGAAUAAGCACCGGCUAACUCUGUGCCAGCAGCCGCGGUAAUACAGAGGGUGCAAGCGUUAAUCGGAAUUACUGGGCGUAAAGCGCGCGUAGGUGGUUUGUUAAGUUGGAUGUGAAAUCCCCGGGCUCAACCUGGGAACUGCAUUCAAAACUGACUGACUAGAGUAUGGUAGAGGGUGGUGGAAUUUCCUGUGUAGCGGUGAAAUGCGUAGAUAUAGGAAGGAACACCAGUGGCGAAGGCGACCACCUGGACUAAUACUGACACUGAGGUGCGAAAGCGUGGGGAGCAAACAGGAUUAGAUACCCUGGUAGUCCACGCCGUAAACGAUGUCAACUAGCCGUUGGAAGCCUUGAGCUUUUAGUGGCGCAGCUAACGCAUU